This is a long non-coding RNA of Bubalus bubalis (water buffalo), 463 nucleotides long. RefSeq lists it as uncharacterized. The transcript is spliced from 3 exons. Lineage: Eukaryota; Metazoa; Chordata; Mammalia; Artiodactyla; Bovidae. The record is from RefSeq and is a predicted model, not a curated record.
AACUCUCACAUCCAUACAUGACUACUGGAAAAAACACAGCUUUGACUACACAGACCUUUUUUAUCCAUGGAGACUUGGCAAAUCCCAGAGCCUCUGGACAAACAGAAAUCAAUCAGAAAUAUUCCCAGUCCACUGAUGCAGAACAUUUCAGGGCUGUUUGGAAACCAGGAAUCACCAGAGAAUCCAACACUCAGGAUGCCAGAAUCCAGAGAGGUGCCAGCACCAACCAAAGCAGACCAGCAGCUGGCAGGUGGCACCAGCGCCCAGUCUCAGCGUCCAGCAAGAGCUCUUCUUCCAGCUGCUUGUGCUCAGGGCUCAGCUGCCCCUUCUCCCUGGGUAGUCCCAACACUGUGUCACCCUAAGUUGUACAGAACCUCUGAAAUAUGCCUGAAUUAUGGUGCCUAGGCAGCGGUCAAGGUCUUGGUCUUGGUUUCACUUCUUGAUUUUUUUUUGCUGACUCUUU